Molecule: unclassified non-coding RNA, 247 nt
Filed under: uncultured fungus
Lineage: Eukaryota; Fungi
Description: sequence contains ITS1, 5.8S rRNA gene
Rfam family: 5.8S ribosomal RNA (bases 199-247)
Source: RNAcentral
UUUUCGUAGGUGAACCUGCGGAAGGAUCAUUAGUGAAUUCAAGGGUUCGGACUCUGCAAAGAGAAAGGCCCAAUUCCACUAUUUUUAAACACUUGUGCACUCGUCUUUUUUAACGCUUUUGUUAAAAAAUACCUUUUUAACCCUGUUGCAUCCUUACAAAAAGUUGAUGAACCAAACCAAGUUGAUAAACGAAAGAAAAACUUUCAGCAAUGGAUCUCUUGGCUCUCGCAUCGAUGAAGAACGCAGC